UCAGUUCGGAUUGGAGUCUGNAACCCGACUCCAUGAAGCUGGAUUCGCUAGUAAUCGCGCAUCAGCCACGGCGCGGUGAAUACGUUCCCGGGCCUUGUACACACCGCCCGUCAAGCCAUGGAAGCCGGGAGUGCCUGAAGUGCGUGAGCGCAAGCAGCGCCCUAAGGUAAAAACCGGUGACUGGGGCUAAGUCGUAACAAGGUACC
This 206-nucleotide ribosomal RNA is filed under the name uncultured bacterium. RNAcentral's name for it is "partial 16S ribosomal RNA". It matches the Rfam family "Bacterial small subunit ribosomal RNA", at positions 1288 to 1500 of the family's 1533-position model. The record is from RNAcentral.